Molecule: RNA transcript, 1780 nt
Organism: Cornus florida
Lineage: Eukaryota; Viridiplantae; Streptophyta; Magnoliopsida; Cornales; Cornaceae
Gene name: ASC1-like protein
Exons: 7
Source: RefSeq, a predicted model, not a curated record
CGACUUUUAACUUAUUAUAAUCGUUGGGUCCACCCGCCAAAACUAAUUUUCUUCAACAUCUGAUCUUUGUCUUGACGACGACUUUGAAUGCAAACCCAUUGCUUCCCCCAAAUUCACUUCUCUGAAUUAUUACAAACCCUUAAUCUGAGUGUGCGUUGUGUAAUUUUUUGAAUUGUUAUGGGUUUCUUGUUGGGACCCACAAUUCCCGUCGACUGGGAGUCGGAGUACUUCCCUCACUACCAAGAUUUUGUGGUCCUUCCCUUCUUCAUUCUGUUCAUCCCAUCAAUUCGGUUCAUACUUGACAGAUUUGUCUUCGAGAAAUUAGCUAGAAGACUAAUUUUGGGGAAGGGACAUGCUCUGAUGAAUCUUGAGACACGUGUUCAGAGGAAGAAACUCAAUAAAUUCAAAGAAUCAGCUUGGAAAUGCAUUUUUUAUCUUUCUUCAGAACUUUUUGCUCUUUCUGUUACCAUUGGUGAACCCUGGUUCACUGAUACCAAAUACUUUUGGGUGGGGCCUGAAGAUCAGGUUUGGCCUGAUCAGAAAAUGAAAUUGAAAUUGAAGGGAUAUUACAUGUAUGCUGCUGGAUUCUAUAUAUACUCCAUCUUCGCUUUGGUUUUUUGGGAAACAAGGCGUUCCGACUUUGUGGUGUCAAUGGGUCAUCAUGUAGCGACUGUCAUUCUCCUCGUGUUUUCUUACAUAUUCAGAUUUGCUCGAGUUGGUUCGGUUAUUUUAACCAUCCAUGAAGGAUGUGAUGUCUUUGUUGAAUUAGGGAAGAUGUCCAAAUACAGUGGCUUUGAAAUGAUGGCUAGCUUUUCUUUUGCUGCUUUUGUAUUGUCUUGGCUUACACUUCGUUUGAUCUAUUAUCCAUUCUGGAUAUUGUGGAGUACAAGCUAUGAAGUUCUUUUGACACUGGACAUGGAUAAGCACAUGGUGGAUGGAACAAUAUACUAUUAUUUGUUUAAUACUUUUCUAUUCAGCUUGCUCGUUAUUCACAUUUAUUGGUGGCGGUUGAUGUUCUCAAUGCUCAUAGAACAAAUCCGAGCUAGAGGCCAGAUUGGUGAUGAUGUGCGAUCUGAUUCUGAAAGUGACGAUGAACACAUUGAUUGACAACAAAACGAAGAAUGAAGAUGCAGCAUCCAAGCAUUUUUAAGAUUAGUAGGAGUUGAAUCAUUAUUCUGAUUCUGAAAGUGACGAUGAACACAUUGAUUGACAACAAAACGAAGAAUGAAGAUGCAGCAUCCAAGCAUUUUUAAGAUUAGUAGGAGUUGAAUCAUUAUUCUGGUAUGAAUGAUUAUGUUGUUUCAGUUCUUCUGAAAGAUUCCACUCAGAGAAGAUCUAUGCUAUAUUGUUCCGCUCCCUGUGCAGAUGGACAUUGACAAUGGCAUGCACUUAUGUAUGUCCACACUUCAAUCUCCCUGUGUAAGCUAUAAGUUUUUGUUAAAAGUACUCGUAAGAAGUUUAUAAUAUACCAAUGCUUAUAAGAACUUCGCUGUUGAAGGGUAUAUAAUCAAAAUGUGAAACAGACAUGUUUAGCAGAUUGGUAGUAACUGUAGAGGGAUUUAUCGAUGGUCUGUGUUUUAGCUGACACAAUGCACCACUAAUAAUUUCUCAUCACAUCCCAUAUAUCAUUAUACAUUAGUUGUAAAAACCAGGGUCAUUGUUUCAGAUUUUCAAUUGUCAAUCUUUUUAUGAUGUUAACUCCAUGGGCUAGCUGCUGUUUUCUCACUGCAGGAGAAUCUCAAAUGCAGAAAAACACCAUACUGGAAACUUUACAAUCCCG